CUGGAAGCACCAUCAAAUAUCCAUGAGGGCAAAGUGACAGACUCUUCCAUAGAAAUUCUCUGGAAUCGAGCUGAUGGGAAUUUUCAGCAUUAUGAAAUCACAUGCAUGAACUGUACUGCUGCUUUCAUGGUCCAGAAGGUAGUUCAAGAAGCAGCAACAUUCUCUAACCUGGAUCCUGCGACAGUGUAUACUUUUUCAAUUUGCACUGAAAAAGAAGGUUUUAAAGACAGUGCUCCUAACGUAAAAGAAAUACAGACAGCCCCAAGUGCAGUUGAAUUUAUGAACCAUAGUAGAAACUCCAAUGCAAUAACUGUUAGCUGGCCUACAGCUAGAAGUCUUCUGGACGGAUACAUUAUUUCAAUAUCCAGCGGAAUCUUAAUGAAAGAGGAAACCCUGCCUUCCACAAAAAGGACAUUCACAUUUAAUAGCCUUUCUUCAGGGACUGACUUUUUAAUUAGUGUUAUAACUACCAAGGGACUGAAAAGAAGCCAUCCCACUGUCCUCAUGGUUAGCACUUAUCCAGACCCACCAUCUGAUUUGCUGAUUUUGGGGCAGGAAGAGAACACAAUAUAUUUGUCUUGGAAACUUCCACGAGGAGGCUUUGAAAAGUUUCA
This 614-nucleotide long non-coding RNA is filed under the name Lynx canadensis (Canada lynx). Its description in RNAcentral is "lncRNA (ENSLCNG00005006568.1)". Lineage: Eukaryota; Metazoa; Chordata; Mammalia; Carnivora; Felidae. The record is from RNAcentral.